UGAGGAAUAUUGGGCAAUGGACGGAAGUCUGACCCAGCCAUGCCGCGUGAAGGAUGAAGGCGUUCUGCGUUGUAAACUUCUUUUAUCAGGGAAGAAAAGCACUUUUUCUAGAGUGUCCGACGGUACCUGAGGAAUAAGCACCGGCUAACUCCGUGCCAGCAGCCGCGGUAAUACGGAGGGUGCGAGCGUUAUCCGGAUUUACUGGGUUUAAAGGGUGUGUAGGCGGGCUUUUAAGUCAGUGGUGAAAUCUCCGGGCUCAACCUGGAAACUGCCAUUGAUACUAUUGGUCUUGAAUAUUGUUGAGGUGGGCGGAAUACAUCAUGUAGCGGUGAAAUGCUUAGAUAUGAUGUAGAACACCGAUUGCGAAGGCAGCUCACUGGGCAAUUAUUGACGCUGAGGCACGAAAGCGUGGGGAUCAAACAGGAUUAGAUACCCUGGUAGUCCACGCCCUAAACGAUGAUUACUGGACGUGCGCGGCCUUUAGUGGUAUGCGCGUCUUAAGCGAAA
Molecule: ribosomal RNA, 507 nt
Filed under: uncultured bacterium
Lineage: Bacteria
Description: bacterial SSU rRNA
Rfam family: Bacterial small subunit ribosomal RNA
Source: RNAcentral